AGUUGUUUGGCGUACGAGGAAACGUCUUUGGCUUUGAAAUUCAAUCGCCAGCGUUCGAAACGCGGAACAAUAUC
Molecule: transfer RNA, 74 nt
Filed under: Roseimaritima multifibrata
Lineage: Bacteria; Pseudomonadati; Planctomycetota; Planctomycetia; Pirellulales; Pirellulaceae
Description: Planctomycetes bacterium FF011L tRNA-Ser
Source: RNAcentral